AUGCUUCAGCAGCAGGUAUAUCCAAAUUACAAUACAGAGAUUAACAUGACACUUGUACAAGGAUAAUAUGAAAAUUCGUGAAGUAUUCCAUAUUUUU
Small nuclear RNA from Dipodomys ordii (Ord's kangaroo rat), 97 nucleotides. Lineage: Eukaryota; Metazoa; Chordata; Mammalia; Rodentia; Heteromyidae. The record is from Ensembl.